RNAcentral lists this ribosomal RNA (253 nucleotides) under uncultured bacterium. Its description in RNAcentral is "partial 16S ribosomal RNA". It matches the Rfam family "Bacterial small subunit ribosomal RNA", at positions 524 to 776 of the family's 1533-position model. The record is from RNAcentral.
UACAGAGGGUGCGAGCGUUGUUCGGAAUUACUGGGCGUAAAGUGUGCGCAGGCGGCCGCGCAAGUCGAGUGUGAAAGCCCCGAGCUUAACUUGGGAAUUGCGCUCGAAACUACGUGGCUGGAGUGUGGCAGAGGAAGGUGGAAUUCCACGUGUAGCGGUGAAAUGCGUAGAGAUGUGGAGGAACACCGAUGGCGAAGGCAGCCUUCUGGGCCAACACUGACGCUCAUGCACGAAAGCGUGGGGAGCAAACAGG